GCACUGCUGAGGAGUCCCACAACAGGUCGAAACGACCGUCCAGUGC
This 46-nucleotide non-coding RNA is filed under the name Schistosoma margrebowiei. The record is from RNAcentral. Lineage: Eukaryota; Metazoa; Platyhelminthes; Trematoda; Strigeidida; Schistosomatidae.